GAUGAACGCUGGCGGCGUGCCUAAUACAUGCAAGUCGAGCGAAUGGAUUAAGAGCUUGCUCUUGUGAAGUUAGCGGCGGACGGGUGAGUAACACGUGGGUAACCUGCCCAUAAGACUGGGAUAACUCCGGGGAACCGGGGCUAAUACCGGAUAACAUUUUGAACCGCAUGGUUCGAAAUUGAAAGGCGGCUUCGGCUGUCACUUAUGGAUGGACCCGCGUCGCAUUAGCUAGUUGGUGAGGUAACGGCUCACCAAGGCAACGAUGCGUAGCCGACCUGGGAGGGUGAUCGGCAACACUGGGACUGAGACACGGCCCAGACUCCUACGGGAGGCAGCAGUAGGGAAUCUUCCGCAAUGGACGAAAGUCUGACGGAGCUACGCCGCGUGAGUGAUGAAGGCAUUCGGGUCGUAAAACUCUGUUGUUAGGGAAGAACAAGUGCUAGUUGAAUAAGCUGGCACCUUGACGGUACCUAACCAGAAAGCCACGGCUAACUACGUGCCAGCCGCCGCCGUAA
RNAcentral lists this ribosomal RNA (515 nucleotides) under uncultured bacterium. RNAcentral's name for it is "partial 16S ribosomal RNA". It matches the Rfam family "Bacterial small subunit ribosomal RNA", at positions 28 to 523 of the family's 1533-position model. The record is from RNAcentral.